Molecule: ribosomal RNA, 416 nt
Filed under: uncultured Aquisphaera sp.
Lineage: Bacteria; Pseudomonadati; Planctomycetota; Planctomycetia; Isosphaerales; Isosphaeraceae
Description: partial 16S ribosomal RNA
Rfam family: Bacterial small subunit ribosomal RNA
Source: RNAcentral
UCGAGAAUCUUCGGCAAUGGGCGCAAGCCUGACCGAGCGACGCCGCGUGGAGGACGAAGGCCUUCGGGUUGUAAACUCCUGUCGAGGGGGAGGAAGGUCGGGCAACCGGCUUGACCGAUCCCUGGAGGAAGCACGGGCUAAGUUCGUGCCAGCAGCCGCGGUAAGACGAACCGUGCGAACGUUAUUCGGAAUCACUGGGCUUAAAGCGCGUGUAGGCGGAUGGGGACGUCGGUUGUUGAAAGCCCCCGGCUCAACCGGGGAAUGGGCACCGAAACGCCCCGUCUCGAGGGACGUAGGGGGACCUGGAACUUCCGGUGGAGCGGUGAAAUGCGUUGAGAUCGGAAGGAACGCCCGUGGCGAAAGCGAGGUCCUGGACGUCUACUGACGCUGAGACGCGAAAGCUAGGGUAGCGAACG